This 575-nucleotide long non-coding RNA is filed under the name Pongo abelii (Sumatran orangutan). Its description in RNAcentral is "lincRNA". Lineage: Eukaryota; Metazoa; Chordata; Mammalia; Primates; Hominidae. The record is from RNAcentral.
GAUGAGCUGUAAUUGCAGGCGUUUUCCAUGGUUAUUUUUUCCCCUGGAAAGAUAAAGUGAUACCUGUAAUUUCCCAAAAGAUACGCUCCAGGCUCCCAUCCCCAGGCAGAGGCUGAGUGGCCUUCAUUACCCGAGAAACAGGAGCUUUUCUUGCACCUUCCUGAGACCCGGCCCAGCUCAGCUGUGCUCACACCAGCAACUUCAUGGUUUCCUGUGACAACUGCACAUCAAGACUGUCUCCCUCUAACCCCAUUUCAGAAAAGACAAUGAGAGAGCAGCCAGAGGGGUGGAAAGGGGAGCACGUGACCCUGCAAGAGGCAGGGAGAGAGAGAACACUGCGUCCGCUCCCUUUUAGAGCAGCUCAAUAUAGAGAAUCCCUAACGAGGACUUCCAGGAUAUCUUAGGGACAGCAGAGCCUCAAGAUCCAGGGAGGAUCCUGGAUACCUGAGGAGUCACCACUUGGAGGAGAAUCUCCUGGAAGAACUGAUUGAUCAGCAACAUCUACAUUCAACUUGAGGCUGUGGAAGCAUGGCACCAGCAUCUUCUUGGCUUCUGAUGAGGCCUCAGGAAGCUUU